CAUCGUCAAUUUGUUGUGGACAAAUCCAAUGAAUGUGUGUAUCAAUACCACCGGCGGUCAAAAUGAGUUUUUCUCCGGCAAUGACUUCGGUGGUGUUGCCCACAAUCAUGUUGGAGUCGACAUUGGCCAUGAUAUCGGGAUUGCCGGCCUUGCCAAUUCCGACAAUGGUAUUGCCUUUAAUGCCGAUAUCGGCCUUGACAAUCCCCGCGACAGCAUCGACAAUGAGGGCAUUGGUAAUGACGACAUCGAGAGCGUCGGCAGACGACACGGAUGUCGCUUGUCCCAUGCCUUCCCGCAAUG
Non-coding RNA from Seminavis robusta, 300 nucleotides. The record is from the annotation of a GenBank genome assembly. Lineage: Eukaryota; Bacillariophyta; Bacillariophyceae; Naviculales; Naviculaceae.